CAAACUGUUAUCAAAGCAACGGAAACGGGCAGUGGUGGCCUGUUUCAGAAUGGCCCCUCUCUACAACCUGCCCAGGAAUAGAAAUUGGAAUCCUUGGCCUAUGGAGCUAUUGCAGUCUGCAUAGUAUAAGGGCCUGGCUAAGA
RNAcentral lists this small RNA (143 nucleotides) under Pongo abelii (Sumatran orangutan). Its description in RNAcentral is "processed transcript". The record is from RNAcentral. Lineage: Eukaryota; Metazoa; Chordata; Mammalia; Primates; Hominidae.